AACGUACCUUUCAGUUCGGAAUAACCCAGGGAAACUUGGGCUAAGACCGGAUACGCCCUUUUGGGGAAAGAUUUAUCGCUGAGAGAUCGGCCCGCGUCUGAUUAGCUAGUUGGUGAGGUAAAGGCUCACCAAGGCGACGAUCAGUAGCUGGUCUGAGAGGAUGAUCAGCCACAUUGGGACUGAGACACGGCCCAAACUCCUACGGGAGGCAGCAGUGGGGAAUAUUGGACAAUGGGCGCAAGCCUGAUCCAGCCAUGCCGCGUGAGUGAUGAAGGCCUUAGGGUUGUAAAGCUCUUUCGGCGGGGACGAUAAUGACGGUACCCGCAGAAGAAGCCCCGGCUAACUUCGUGCCAGCAGCCGCGGUAAUACAAAGGGGGCUAGCGUUGUUCGGAAUCACUGGGCGUAAAGGGCGCGUAGGCGGCCAUAUAAGUCGGGGGUGAAAGCCUGUGGCUCAACCACAGAAUUGCCUUCGAUACUGUAUGGCUCGAGACCGGAAGAGGUAAGUGGAACUGCGAAUGUAUAGGUGAAAUUCGUAGAUAUUCGCAAGAACACCAGUGGCGAAGGCGGCUUACUGGUCCGGUUCUGACGCUGAGGCGCGAAAGCGUGGGGAGCAAACAGGAUUAGAUACCCUGGU
Molecule: ribosomal RNA, 634 nt
Filed under: uncultured bacterium
Lineage: Bacteria
Description: bacterial SSU rRNA
Rfam family: Bacterial small subunit ribosomal RNA
Source: RNAcentral